RNAcentral lists this unclassified non-coding RNA (439 nucleotides) under Hevea brasiliensis (rubber tree). The record is from RNAcentral. Lineage: Eukaryota; Viridiplantae; Streptophyta; Magnoliopsida; Malpighiales; Euphorbiaceae.
CUAUCUUACCCCCUCUCUUACUCUAGCCCCAGCUUCCUCACUAACCUUACCUCCGCUCCUUUUAUUGCUUCUAGUCCCUUAGGUUCCCCCUACUCCUCAUCUUGAACUCCUCUCUGUAAAGUCCACUAUCUCCUAUGGACAUAAGCACCUCUUUCCAUAUGUACCCAUAUGUGUGUUAGGGUGUUUACAACCUAUGGCUCAAAUCUCCCAUCAAGGUCAUGGGGUGCUCAAUCCUAGGGUCUACCCCCUCAACUGUCAGGAUACAAAAAAUCAGACACUCAUAAGGUAAAAGGAACAUAGAGCAGCUGAGUAUGGUUCCCUAAAGAUGCAUUGGGACUAGCUCCGGGUAUAUCAUAGGUAUACCCUUGUACAUUAAAUUUUGAUGUAUUCAUGUAAUAAUACGUAUAAAAUUUUCUUUGAGCAGUUGUACAAGAACUUU